GACGAACGCUGGCGGCGUGCUUAACACAUGCAAGUCGAACGGUGAAGCCCUUCGGGGUGGCUCAGUGGCGAACGGGUGCGUAACACGUGAGCAACCUGCCCCUGGCUCUGGGACAACCACUGGAAACGGUGGCUAAUACCGGAUACGACCCGCCUCGGCAUCGAGUGUGGGUGGAAAGUUUUUCGGCGGGGGAUGGGCUCGCGGCCGAUCAGCUUGUUGGUGAGGUGAAGGCUGACCAAGGCGACGACGGGUAGCCGGCCUGAGAGGGCGACCGGCCACAGUGGGACGGAGAUACGGCCCAGACUCCUACGGGAGGCAGCAGUGGGGAAUAGUGCACAAGGGGCGGAAGCCUGAUGCAGCAACGCCGCGGGCGGGAUGACGGCCUGCGGGUUGUAAACCGCUUUCGCCUGUGACGAAGCGUGAGUGACGGUAAGGGGUAAAGAAGCACCGGCUAACUACGUG
RNAcentral lists this ribosomal RNA (462 nucleotides) under uncultured bacterium. RNAcentral describes it as "partial 16S ribosomal RNA". It matches the Rfam family "Bacterial small subunit ribosomal RNA", at positions 28 to 507 of the family's 1533-position model. The record is from RNAcentral.